GAUGUAUGUGUUUCUUGAAAAUGUUAAAUCUAUUAUUUUGAAAUGUUAAACUAUUUUUUGGAAAUGUUGAAUUUAAUUUAGAUCUAAUAGACUUUGUUGACACACAGCUUAUCCAUAAGAGCCUCUUUUAAUUUUCACUGUAGUUAUUAGCUAGAUAAAGCUUCAAAAAGUAGCCUGAAAACGUACUCUUAAAAUACGCUUCACGAGAUGUGAUACGUGCUUCCUUGCCCGUUUUCUCCGCGCUCACGCUUGCUGGUGGACGGCCGCUUUGCCGCCGCCCGCCGCCUAUAAAUGAGCCCUCCCACGAACGCUGAAAAUUCCUUCUCCGCUUCAUCCCCUCGCCGUCGUCGGAGCCGAAGGUGCGGGCGCUUCCUCGCCGCCGGUCGGGGACCGAGGAAUGGCCGGGACGGCGGCGUCCGUGGAGCGCGUGAGGGACCGCGCCACCGGCCUCGACAAGUUCGUCCUCCGCGAGGUCCGGGGCAGCUCCGUCGAGGUAUAUUUAUAUGGAGGUCAGGUGACAUUUUGGAAAAAUAACUUCGGUCAUCAACUGCUUUUUGUCAGUAAAAAGGCUACUUUUAAACCGCCAAAAGCCAUUCGUGGUGGCAUCCAAAUUUGCUUCCCUCAAUUAGGUAGCCAUGGAGUUCUUGAACAGCAUGGAUUUGCAAGGAACCGAUUCUGGAGUGUUGAUGAAAGUCCACCUCCUUUUCCAGUUGCUACUUCCAAUUGUCAUAUUGACUUGAUACUCAAGUCAUGUCAAGAGGAUUUGAAGGUCUGGCCACAUAGCUAUGAAUUUCGUCUGAGAGUUGCACUUAGUCCAAGGGGAGAUCUUAUUCUCACAUCUCGAAUUAAAAAUAUGAGCUCAGAUGGCAAGCCAUUCCAAUUUACAUUUGCAUAUCAUACUUACUUUUCGGUAUCUGAUAUCAGUGAAGUGCGGGUAGAAGGUUUGGAGACCUUGGACUAUCUUGACAACUUGCAAUCCAGGAAUCGUUGUACUGAACAAGGAGAUGCAGUUGUAUUUGAGUCUGAAUAAGGUGGACAAGGUAUAUUUGAGUGCUCCACAGAAGAUUGUGAUCAUUGACCAUGAGAAGAAAAGAACGUUUGUUUUGAGGAAAGAGGGACUUCCAGAUGUUGUCGUUUGGAACCCUUGGGACAAGAAGGCAAAAGCAAUGCCAGAUUUUGGGGAUGAUGAGUACAAGAACAUGCUAUGCGUAGGGGCUGCAGCUAUUGAGAAGCCAAUUACUUUGAAGUCUGGUGAAGAGUGGCUAGGAAAGCAGGAAAUUUCCGCUGUACCAUCCAGUUACAGCAGCGGACAAUUGGAUCCUGAAGUCAUUCGUCGGAUGCACACAAUCUAAGUUUCUCGAUGAUUAUCUCCUAUGUGAGUGUUCUGGGCUUCACUUCCCUAGAGCUAAAAACUGCCGCGCCUCUGAACUGACAAUCUUGAAAUUUCGUACGUGGACUUCAAGUUUCUGUUUUCCUGUCCAAUUCCAAAACAGCCUGUAUUUUUUCUGGAGCAGCAUUGGGAUUGAAAUUACCACCAUGUUAACAUUAGAAAAUAUGGAGAAUUUUUCAUCCAUAUUAAUAUCAAGCUUGCACUGUACGAUUUUUUUUUUUGUCCCUGAAACGUUGUAUUGUAUUGCAAAGGGAGGGAGCGCAAGUUUGUACUGGUUAUGGGCUUGUGGCAAACAAAACUAUUCAUAUUAAUUUUGAGGCUGUAUUAUAUUGUAAGCGUACGUGUU
This is an RNA transcript of Panicum virgatum (switchgrass), 1736 nucleotides long. It is a transcript of the gene named putative glucose-6-phosphate 1-epimerase, with no coding region annotated. NCBI's taxonomy places the organism in Eukaryota, Viridiplantae, Streptophyta, Magnoliopsida, Poales, Poaceae. The record is from RefSeq and is a predicted model, not a curated record. The transcript is spliced from 9 exons.